This 555-nucleotide ribosomal RNA is filed under the name uncultured bacterium. RNAcentral describes it as "partial 16S ribosomal RNA". It matches the Rfam family "Bacterial small subunit ribosomal RNA", at positions 355 to 920 of the family's 1533-position model. The record is from RNAcentral.
UGGGGAAUAUUGCACAAUGGGCGAAAGCCUGAUGCAGCGACGCCGCGUGAGGGAUGACGGCCUUCGGGUUGUAAACCUCUUUCAGCAGGGAAGAAGCGAAAGUGACGGUACCUGCAGAAGAAGCGCCGGCUAACUACGUGCCAGCAGCCGCGGUAAUACGUAGGGCGCAAGCGUUGUCCGGAAUUAUUGGGCGUAAAGAGCUCGUAGGCGGUUAGUCGCGUCUGCUGUGAAAACUCGAGGCUCAACCUCGGGCUUGCAGUGGGUACGGGCUGACCAGAGUGCGGUAGGGGUGACUGGAAUUCCUGGUGUAGCGGUGGAAUGCGCAGAUAUCAGGAGGAACACCGAUGGCGAAGGCAGGUCACUGGGCCGCAACUGACGCUGAGGAGCGAAAGCAUGGGGAGCGAACAGGAUUAGAUACCCUGGUAGUCCAUGCCGUAAACGUUGGGCACUAGGUGUGGGGUCCAUUCCACGGAUUCCGUGCCGCAGCAAACGCAUUAAGUGCCCCGCCUGGGGAGUACGGCCGCAAGGCUAAAACUCAAAGGAAUUGACGGGGUC